UAGGGAAUCUUCCACAAUGGGCGAAAGCCUGAUGGAGCAACGCCGCGUGUGUGAUGAAGGGUUUCGGCUCGUAAAACACUGUUGUAAGAGAAGAAUGACAUUGAGAGUAACUGUUCAGGUAUUGACGGUAUUUAACCAGAAAGCCACGGCUAACUACGUACCAG
This 164-nucleotide ribosomal RNA is filed under the name uncultured bacterium. RNAcentral's name for it is "partial 16S rRNA". It matches the Rfam family "Bacterial small subunit ribosomal RNA", at positions 355 to 511 of the family's 1533-position model. The record is from RNAcentral.